This 253-nucleotide ribosomal RNA is filed under the name uncultured bacterium. Its description in RNAcentral is "partial 16S ribosomal RNA". It matches the Rfam family "Bacterial small subunit ribosomal RNA", at positions 524 to 776 of the family's 1533-position model. The record is from RNAcentral.
UACAGAGGUCUCGAGCGUUAGGCGGAAUCACUGGGCUUAAAGCGUGUGUAGGCGGAUCGUUAAGUACCUUGUGAAAUCCCACGGCUUAACCGUGGAACUGCUUGGUAUACUGGCGGUCUUGAGCCAGCUAGGGGCUACCGGAACAAAUGGUGGAGCGGUGAAAUGCGUAGAUAUCAGGAGGAAUACCGAUGGCGAAGGCAGCCCCCUGGGUUGAUACUGACGCUCAUGCACGAAAGCGUGGGGAGCAAACAGG